UUCCGGUUGAUCCUGCCGGACCCUACUGCUAUCGGGGUGGGACUAAGACAUGCGUGUCGCCCAAGCCAACCGUGGCAUACGGCUCAGUAACACGUGGCUAACCUACCCUCGAGACAGGGACAACCCCGGGAAACUGGGGCUAAUCCCAGAUAGAUGAGGACCUCUGGAAUGGGUUGCACCGUGGAUGCUCUGUCGCUCAAGGAUGGGGCCGCGACCGAUCAGGUUGUUGGUGAGGUAAUGGCUCACCAAGCCUUUUACCGGUGCGGGCCGUGAGAGCGGGAGCCCGGAGAUGGGCACUGAGACAAGGGCCCAGGCCCUACGGGGCGCAGCAGUCGCGAAAACUUUGCAAUACACGAAAGUGUGACAGGGCUAUCCCGAGUGCCAUCCGCUGAGGAAGGCUUUUACCCAGUCUAGAAAGCUGGGAGAAUAAGGAGAGGGCAAGUCUGGUGUCAGCCGCCGCGGUAAUACCAGCUCUCCGAGUGGUGUGGAUGUUUAUUGGGCCUAAAGCAUCCGUAGCUGGCUAAGUUAGUCCCUUGUUAAACCCACCGAAUUAAUCGUUGGCGUGCGGGGGAUACUGCUCGGCUAGGGGACGAGAGAGGCAGACGGUAUUCUCGGGGUAGGGGUGAAAUCCUAUAAUCCCGAGAAGACCACCAGUGGCGAAGGCUGUCUGCUAGAACGCGCCCGACGGUGAGGGAUGAAAGCUGGGGGAGCGAACCGGAUUAGAUACCCGGGUAGUCCCAGCUGUAAACGAUGCAGGCUAGGUGUUUGGACGGCCACGUGCCGUUCUAGUGCCGCAGGGAAGCUGUUAAGCCUGCCGCCUGGGGAGUACGGUCGCAAGAUUGAAACUUAAAGGAAUUGGCGGGGGAGCACCACAAGGGGUGAAGCUUGCGGUUUAAUUGGAUUCAACGCCGGA
RNAcentral lists this ribosomal RNA (913 nucleotides) under uncultured archaeon. Its description in RNAcentral is "bacterial SSU rRNA". It matches the Rfam family "Archaeal small subunit ribosomal RNA", at positions 1 to 922 of the family's 1478-position model. The record is from RNAcentral.